GCUUUUGUUAUUGUAUAAUUAAAAACGAAAUUAGAAUAUUUCUGCCCCCUCAGUCUCAUGAAGCCUAUAAUCCAGCUCCUGGUGACAAGUGGGAUGUCACAGCCGAGUACAGAGCAAGGAAGCUUCCCUCUCUGUUGCAACUAAAUUAAAACCCCAGCAAGAGGAAACAAAUGAUGGACACGUUGGUGCAGGGAACAUCAGCACACCUAUCCUCUCGGCCCAGGUGAAAACUACUCAGACGCUACGCUCAGGGACUGAAUGGCUGGUACAUCACUAAACACGGGGCAAGUGAGGGGU
RNAcentral lists this long non-coding RNA (297 nucleotides) under Mustela putorius furo (domestic ferret). RNAcentral's name for it is "lncRNA (ENSMPUG00000030534.1)". Lineage: Eukaryota; Metazoa; Chordata; Mammalia; Carnivora; Mustelidae. The record is from RNAcentral.